GACGAACGCUGGCGGCGUGCUUAACACAUGCAAGUCGAACGGAAAGGCCCUGCUUUUGUGGGGUGCUCGAGUGGCGAACGGGUGAGUAACACGUGAGUAACCUGCCCUUGACUUUGGGAUAACUUCAGGAAACUGGGGCUAAUACCGGAUAGGAGCUCCUGCUGCAUGGUGGGGGUUGGAAAGUUUCGGCGGUUGGGGAUGGACUCGCGGCUUAUCAGCUUGUUGGUGGGGUAGUGGCUUACCAAGGCUUUGACGGGUAGCCGGCCUGAGAGGGUGACCGGCCACAUGGGGACGGGGAUACGGCCCAGACUCCUACGGGAGGCAGCAGGGGGGAAUAUUGCACAAUGGGCGGAAGCCUGAUGCGGAAACGCCGCGUGCGGGAUGACGGCCUUCGGGUUGUAACCGCUUUCGCCUGUGACGAAGCGUGAGUGACGGUAAUGGGUAAAGAAGCACCGGCUAACUACGUG
Molecule: ribosomal RNA, 467 nt
Filed under: uncultured bacterium
Lineage: Bacteria
Description: partial 16S ribosomal RNA
Rfam family: Bacterial small subunit ribosomal RNA
Source: RNAcentral